AUGAACGCUGGCGGCGUGCCUAAUACAUGCAAGUCGAGCGAACGGACGAGAAGCUUGCUUCUCUGAUGUUAGCGGCGGACGGGUGAGUAACACGUGGAUAACCUACCUAUAAGACUGGGAUAACUUCGGGAAACCGGAGCUAAUACCGGAUAAUAUUUUGAACCGCAUGGUUCAAAAGUGAAAGACGGUCUUGCUGUCACUUAUAGAUGGAUCCGCGCUGCAUUAGCUAGUUGGUAAGGUAACGGCUUACCAAGGCAACGAUGCAUAGCCGACCUGAGAGGGUGAUCGGCCACACUGGAACUGAGACACGGUCCAGACUCCUACGGGAGGCAGCAGUAGGGAAUCUUCCGCAAUGGGCGAAAGCCUGACGGAGCAACGCCGCGUGAGUGAUGAAGGUCUUCGGAUCGUAAAACUCUGUUAUUAGGGAAGAACAUACGUGUAAGUAACUGUGCACAUCUUGACGGUACCUAAUCAGAAAGCCACGGCUAACUACGUG
Molecule: ribosomal RNA, 496 nt
Filed under: uncultured bacterium
Lineage: Bacteria
Description: partial 16S ribosomal RNA
Rfam family: Bacterial small subunit ribosomal RNA
Source: RNAcentral